RNAcentral lists this long non-coding RNA (821 nucleotides) under Brassica rapa (field mustard). RNAcentral's name for it is "long non-coding RNA (BRAP_LNC003733)". Lineage: Eukaryota; Viridiplantae; Streptophyta; Magnoliopsida; Brassicales; Brassicaceae. The record is from RNAcentral.
UAAAGCCUAAGCCCGGUCGAGAGCAGGCUAUUGCCAUUGUGGAUCCCGAACUUAUUGUGCUUGGUCCUUAAAUGGAUAAAAUUAAAGCCCAAGAUUGUUUAUAGGGCAAUUGUUAUUAAUAGCACAUUUUGAGUUUUUGUCUCAAAAAUAGUACUAAAAAGAGAAAGUCACAAAAACGACAUUCAUUAAAGGGUAAAAUAUCUCUAAUAUUCUUGAUUUAAAAUUAAAUAAACAAACAAAAAUAAAUAAAAACAAAUAAAAUUAAAAUUAAAAAAAAAACUUUUUUAUAGUUUCAGAUUAUAUGUUUUCAGAUUCAAUUUUUUUUUUUAAUUUUUUUGAAUUUUUUUUUCGAACUUUUUUUUAUUUUUUUUUCCAAAUUUUUUUUAUAAUUCAAAAAUACUUUUUGAAACUGUUUUUUAAUUUUUAUUUUUAAUUUUUUAGUAUUUAUUUUUAUUUUAUAAAAUUUUAAACCCUAAUUCCAAAACUGCACCCCCUUAACUCUAAACCCUAAGGUUAGAUUAAUUAACCCAAAGGGUAUAAGUGUAUAUUUACUUCUUUAAUGAAACCUAUUUUUGUGACUUUGAGCCUUGAGUACUAGUUUAGGAACAAAAACUUGGUUUAGUGCUAUUCUAGUCUUUUUCUCUUGUUUAUAUUCAUUACUAGGUGUUUUACCCGCGACGCGGGCUUACAUUUUCAUAAUUUUUUGAAAGAUUUUUUGUACACUAUAUUCAUUACUAAAAAAAAUCUUAAAAUAACCUAAUAUUAUAUUUUAAUUAUAUAAUUAAAAAAAAUUAUUUGAUUAAUAUUUAAUUAUAUAAUUU